Molecule: unclassified non-coding RNA, 1728 nt
Filed under: Penaeus japonicus
Lineage: Eukaryota; Metazoa; Arthropoda; Malacostraca; Decapoda; Penaeidae
Description: protein lin-7 homolog C-like, transcript variant X2
Source: RNAcentral
GAAUUUCCCUCUGUUAUCGAUGAGGGCGAGUCGCUGGUCACGUGACGCAGCAGAGCAAAGAUGGCGUCCGUAGCAGAACCUCUCACUCUCCAACAAGAUGUCAAAAGGGCUGUGGAACUACUGGAUAAACUUCAGAAAACUGGAGAGGUACCAUCAGCUAAAUUGGCAGCAUUGCAGCGUGUUCUUCAGUCAGAAUUUCUAACAGCUGUUCGAGAAGUAUAUGAACAUGUUUAUGAGACUGUUGACAUCUCGGGCUCACCUGAAAUCCGUGCAUCUGCUACGGCAAAAGCAACAGUUGCUGCCUUUGCUGCAAGUGAGGGCCAUGCCCACCCAAGAGUUGUAGAGCUUCCCAAGACUGAUGAAGGAUUGGGGUUUAAUGUGAUGGGAGGCAGAGAACAGAAUUCACCCAUUUAUAUAUCCCGCAUCAUCCCUGGUGGUGUAGCGGAUCGCCACGGUGGUCUGAAGCGAGGAGACCAGCUGCUAUCUGUGAAUGGAGUGAGUGUCGAGGGUGAGAACCAUGAACGUGCGGUGGAGUUGCUGAAAGCUGCCAGCGGUUCGGUCAAGCUGGUGGUCCGAUACACCCCGCGAGUGUUGGAGGAGAUGGAGAUGCGUUUCGACAAACAGCGGGCGUCACGUAGGCGAACUUCCCAAUUACAGUAGUGACUUCCCUAGUGGAGGACUGGCGAGAGCUGGUGUAACUCCAUGCGAGGGAUGGGGAACAAGCUGAGAGCCAGCCAGGUGGAGGACAGUGGAAUUAAGAGAUCGCCACAGCAGGUUGCAGCUCCAGACCAAAGAUGACCAUUCUUUCCAAUUUGUAAUCUUUUAGUCAUAAAUUCCUCGACCCCCUGUGUCUUGUGCAUCCAUAGCCCUCACCCUCACCCACCCAUCUGCUGGGUUUCUUGUAAGCCAUUAACAGCCCUCCCUUUAGUCUGUUCUCAUGUAGGAAAAAAGGAACCUUCAUCGUAAUAUUGAUAUCAAAUCCUGUACUGUAAUGCUUUAAGAAUGACAGAUUUUAAUGUAAAUUUCUUCCUCUUUUUUAAAGGUUUGCUUACUUUGCAAUUCUGGCCUAGUUUCCGUUUGAGAUAUUUUGCUAUCUUGCUAUACAUACUGUAAUUUGUAUAGGUAUAACAUUGUUUUCAAAGGAAAUUUUAACCGGGUUACACCAAAAGUUGUCAUUAAAGUUUGACAUGUAUUUAUAUUAACUUUCUGAAAUAUUAGUGAUGACUUUCUUUCAAAUCCAUAACCCAUUAUGUGUGUAUUAAAGCAUAUGUGUAAAUUCCCAUUGUUCUUAAAGGUAAGGGCAGCUAUAAGAGUAUGUAUGGGUGUAUGCUUGUGGGUAGUAAUAUUUUUUCUUUCUACUUUUUUCAUAUUCCUUGGCAUGAAUUUUUUGUUGUAAGGUUAACAUAUCAUUUUUAAGUAGCCAUACAUUGCAUAUAGAAACUGGAUGCUGACCAAUCAAAAUAUAUAUCUGUGUCCUAUACCACAUUGAUUUUGUUGGUACAAUAAUGGAGAACAGGAUUGACACUGUGUUCUGCUAGUCUUUGGUAUGUAUAGUUCAUGUAUUUUGAUUGCCAAUCUUAUUUCAUCAUUAUGCAUUUCCAUUUAUUGCAGAUAUAUUGAACUCUUGUUCAAAUUUAAUUUCCCAUGGAUAAACUUUUAAGAUUUCUGAUAUGUAUUGAAAUGUUAUGAAACGGUAUAGAUGUAUAUCAAAUAUACUUAUAAGAAUGA